GACGAACGCUGGCGGCGUGCUUAACACAUGCAAGUCGUACGGUAAGGCCCUUUCGGGGGUACACGAGUGGCGAACGGGGGAGUAACACGUGAGUAACCUUCCCACAACUUUGGGAUAACGCUAGGAAACUGGUGCUAAUACUGGAUAUGUGCUCCUGCUGCAUGGUGGGGGUUGGAAAGCUCCGGCGGUUGUGGAUGGACUCGCGGCCUAUCAGCUUGUUGGUGGGGUAGUGGCCUACCAAGGCGGCGACGGGUAGCCGGCCUGAGAGGGUGACCGGCCACAUUGGGACUGAGAUACGGCCCAGACUCCUACGGGAGGCAGCAGUGGGGAAUAUUGCACAAUGGGCGCAAGCCGGAUGCAGCAACGCCGCGUGCGGGAUGACGGCCUUCGGGUUGUAAACCGCUUUCAGCAGGGACGAAGCUUUUUGUGACGGUACCUGCAGAAGAAGCACCGGCUAACUACGUG
This 465-nucleotide ribosomal RNA is filed under the name uncultured bacterium. Its description in RNAcentral is "partial 16S ribosomal RNA". It matches the Rfam family "Bacterial small subunit ribosomal RNA", at positions 28 to 507 of the family's 1533-position model. The record is from RNAcentral.